UGCUCUAAGUUCCUGUUUGAUUUGAUCCAUUCAUGUGUGUUUUCUGUAGGUUUGACUCAGUUCAGUCACAGCCCUAACGCUGAGUGGCACCUGAACAGCCACAGCAACAAACAGUCCCUGCUGCAGGCCAUUGACCGGAUAAAGUAUCAAGGUGGAAACUCAAUGACAGGACGAGCUCUAGGUUUCAUUCUUCAUCACAGCUUUAAACCCGGGGUGGGAAUGCGUCCAGACUCAAAAAAAAUUGCUGUUCUGAUCACUGAUGGAAUGUCUCUGGACGAAGUAGAAAUCCCAGCAAAUAAUCUGAAAGACACUGGGGUUGAGGUCUUUGUUAUUGGUGUGGGCGACCUUGAUGAACUGAGGACCAUCGCUUCUGAAGAUAUCAACAGUCAUUUUUACCUUUUUUCAAAUUUCCAAUCCCUCCAUGAUGCUGCCUCCAAUAUCUCCACCAGCAUCUGUCAUGCUGCUACUGAGCUGAAACAACUUCCCAGUUACUGUGAGUAUGUUUAUAAAAUGUCCUGUUUAUUUAAGAGCCAUAAAAAACAGGAAUUAAUAAUAAAUAAAUAUCUUAAU
Molecule: long non-coding RNA, 570 nt
Organism: Poecilia latipinna (sailfin molly)
Lineage: Eukaryota; Metazoa; Chordata; Actinopteri; Cyprinodontiformes; Poeciliidae
Exons: 3
Source: RefSeq, a predicted model, not a curated record